RNAcentral lists this transfer RNA (91 nucleotides) under Xylaria sp. FL0043. RNAcentral's name for it is "tRNA-Tyr". It matches the Rfam family "tRNA". From Rfam's summary of the family: Transfer RNA (tRNA) molecules are approximately 80 nucleotides in length. Their secondary structure includes four short double-helical elements and three loops (D, anti-codon, and T loops). The record is from RNAcentral. Lineage: Eukaryota; Fungi; Ascomycota; Sordariomycetes; Xylariales; Xylariaceae.
CUCCUGAUAGCUCAGUUGGUAGAGCGAUGGACUGUAAUUGCAAUAACUAUGGAAAAUCCACAGGUCGCGUGUUCGACUCACGCUCGGGAGA